CCUAACCGUGCAAAGGUAGCAUAAUCAUUUGUCUACUAAUUAUAGACCUGUAUGAAAGGCAAAAUGAGGGUCCAACUGUCUCUUAUAGUAAAUCUAUUAAACUGAUCUUCUAGUAAAAAAGCUAGAAUUAAACCAUAAGACCAGAAGACCCUGUGAAGCUUAAAUUAAACUAUUAAACCAAAUAAUAACUAAUUUUGGUUGGGGCGACCUUGGAAAAAAUAAGAACUUCCAAACAACAUGACACAGUCAUAAACCUAGGCCAACAAGCCAAAUUACGACCCAGCAUAGCUGAUAAUUGAAACAAGUUACUCCAGGGAUAACAGCGCAAUCUUCUUCAAGAGCCCAUAUCAAAAAGAAGGUUUACGACCUCGAUGUUGGAUCAGGACAUCCUAAUGGUGCAGAAGCUAUUAAGGGUUCGUUUGUUCAACGAUUAACAGUCCUACGUGAUCUGA
This 452-nucleotide ribosomal RNA is filed under the name Dendrelaphis cf. pictus. Its description in RNAcentral is "partial 16S ribosomal RNA". It matches the Rfam family "Bacterial large subunit ribosomal RNA", at positions 1941 to 2608 of the family's 2925-position model. The record is from RNAcentral. Lineage: Eukaryota; Metazoa; Chordata; Lepidosauria; Squamata; Colubridae.